Mytilus trossulus (common blue mussel) is the source of this 1803-nucleotide long non-coding RNA. RefSeq lists it as uncharacterized. The transcript has 3 exons. The record is from RefSeq and is a predicted model, not a curated record. NCBI's taxonomy places the organism in Eukaryota, Metazoa, Mollusca, Bivalvia, Mytilida, Mytilidae.
GAGGUGAAACCGAGCAAUGAAAUAUAUGAAAAUAACAUUGUGUGUAUUUUCUGGAAUGCCAGAUCCGGAAUAUAUAAUCCAUUUCAAAGAUCCAGAUUACAACAGAAUUAAUGGCAUGCUACCUAAGGCAGGUAGUUUUCAACUUCCGUCUGUGCUUGGCUAUGCGGGAUAUAUUGCUGAGAAGAAACGGCCUUCACUUUCAUCGUGUUGUUCUUUCUGUUCUAGGAUAGCAAUUCCGCGUGGAUUUAAUACUGAACUGGAACAGUUACUGUUUGAUAAGGGUAAAUUUGACGAAGGCUUGCGAACAAUAGUGUAUAGUGUACAGGAUCAAGUAACUAUAUAAAAUUUAGGACCUAGGGGACACUUAAAAUUAUUUUAAGAUGUAAUUGUAGAUGAAAAUAUGUGUUGUUAGAAUAUGCAGACUAUUAAAAUUUGCGAACAGUUUAUUUAAUGUUGUGUGUAGUUAGGAACAAAUCUAAUUUAUGUGUAAUGACGAUACAAUUUACUAUUUCACAGCAACAAUCUGCCAUGAAGUACUUUUAAAGUAAACGUGUAUUUUAUACUCGUAAUGCCUGUAUAUAAUAUUUUGAUUUGUAAUCGUCUGAUUACAAAUAAAAUAUUAAAAGGUUUCUAAUAUAACAUGAUGUUUUAUGCUAGAUAUGUUGAUAUAUGUUAUCUAUGUCAUAAACAUGUGUUCCUAUGGCUCUCAUGACUAUUUAUGAUAUUGUGUGUUAUACUAUAUUUUUUUUAAUGAGACCAUAAUUAAUUAUUUGUUGUUGUUGGUAAUGUGUAUAAAGUAAAGGUUAACAACGAAUGACAUUUUUAUUCUUAAUCAAAUGAUUCUCCCUCAGAAUGAUUCAUAAUGUGUGUAUGUGUACUUAUUUUCUAUACAUUGUGACUUGGAUGUAAAGUUGUCUCAUUGACACUCAUAACACAUCUUCUUUUUUUUAAUAUUUGUCCUUACUCAUACAUGAUUGCCAAUGUGACAACUCUCCAAAAGAGAACAAAUGACACAGAAUUUAACAACUAUAGGUAACCGGACGGCCUCCAACAAUGAGCAAAGUUUAUAACGCAAAGUCAACUAUAAAAAGCUAUAUAUUACACGUCUUACAUAAACUGCUGACAGGAUUAUCACCCUUCCAAAAAGUUCUCUGAAAACAAAAACAGUAACACAAAAGAUCGCUUGCUGGAAUAAAAUAACUCAGGUGAAACAAAUAAACAUAUACAUGACAUAUUCGCAAUAAUCAGAUAAAAAGUUAAUUUAAAUAUGCAAUUUUCCAUAAAAAAAACCCAUUAAAUACAACCAUCGAGUAAAAUUUGGAACAGUAAUUCGGUUCAAAAGGUAUAUUUAUUCGUUAAACGUAAAUACAUAUGUUAAUAUUUUGCUUGACCUGGGUCGUCACGACUACGGCUGUAUUGUUUGUCCUAAAUCUCAUCAUCAGCUCAGUAGCUAUAGUUAACACUUCAGUACUCGCAUACAUAAGGUCACCAGUGUAAACCGCGAUUAGGAAGUCAUAAAUCGAUUGAAGAAAACAAAUACGAGUCAAACGAAAUCCGAGGGAAACACAUCAACUAUAAGAGUAAGUGUAAGAAUAAAACCAAAAGACAAUGCAACACACAUAGACACAAACUAUGAGAAAGCAACUGCAAUUUUCCUGACCUGGUACAGGAAAUAACUCAUACCUUUCUCAAAUUGUUUAAUCAUAAAUUCAGUGAGUACUACUAUAUUACCUCAGGGAAAUGGUUAUUAUUGGUUUAAUUUCAAAACAUUGCUCCCUAUUUUGAUCAAUUACUGAUAUAUGU